Long non-coding RNA from Mobula hypostoma (lesser devil ray), 921 nucleotides. RefSeq lists it as uncharacterized. The transcript has 3 exons. The record is from RefSeq and is a predicted model, not a curated record. NCBI's taxonomy places the organism in Eukaryota, Metazoa, Chordata, Chondrichthyes, Myliobatiformes, Myliobatidae.
AAGGAGGAUGAGAGGAGACAUGAUAGAGGUGUACAAGAUAAUAAGAGGAAUAGAUAGAGUGGAUAGCCGGCGCUUCUUCCCCAGGGCACCACUGCUUAAUACAAGAUGACAUGGCUUGAAAAUUGUUUAGAGCAGCGUGAAGAGCCCGAGAAAUCAUAUCUGUUGUUGAUGCAUUGUGGUAAAUUGAAGAAGAUCUAGAUCCUCAGAUGAGUCCUUGAACACGGCCCAGUCCACUGAUUCAAAACAAUCCCGCAGCCACCCCUCUGCCUCCUGUGACCACCCUUUGUUGUCCUAAACUCUGGAGCGUUGUCCUUUAGCCUGUAUGCAAGUCAGAGAAGGACAGCCAAGUGAUCCGAUUUAAUGUUGUGAGACUCUCCUCCACAAAAUAAACAGAGAAAAACAAUGUCAUUGAACCAUGGUGAGUUCGUGGAAAGCCUGAGUGAAAGGUUAUCCAAAGAGUAUCUCGGGUGUCACAUGUUGCUGCUGCAGAGGUUCAUGGGAUUCCAACAAUCUGGAGCACAGAGCUGUGCAGUGCCUGGUACGCCAGGGGCUGCCACCAAUGAUCUAAACGCCUCUGUGAAGUGUAUCCUGUGCCUUUGUAUGGAUACUUCUGCAAACUUGUUCGCCUUGUCGCUCUGUGAAACCUAAGUCAACUGUGUCAUAUCUACUUUGAUAUCAGGAUUGGAAUAUUUGUUUUAAAUAGUUCUUAACCAUGAAAUUACCUCAGCUAAACAAUUAAAAUUUAUCCAUUGAUGUUUAAAGAACAUCAUUCAUGCAGAAUAUUUAAUUUCAUUCUCUAAUGAGCACAUUUACAUACAUGGAAUACAUCACUUUUACAUACAUUUUACAAAGAAACAUUCAUCAUUUCUGUAAACUGACGGACCUAAAUCUUCAUUGGCGAAAUUUUCUGAGAUUCUUCCU